CGAUGCGUAGCCGACCUGAGAGGGUGAUCGGCCACACUGGGACUGAGACACGGCCCAGACUCCUACGGGAGGCAGCAGUAGGGAAUCUUCCGCAAUGGACGAAAGUCUGACGGAGCAACGCCGCGUGAGUGAUGAAGGUUUUCGGAUCGUAAAACUCUGUUGUUAGGGAAGAACAAGUAUCGGAGUAACUGCCGGUACCUUGACGGUACCUAACCAGAAAGCCACGGCUAACUACGUGCCAGCAGCCGCGGUAAUACGUAGGUGGCAAGCGUUGUCCGGAAUUAUUGGGCGUAAAGCGCGCGCAGGUGGUUCCUUAAGUCUGAUGUGAAAGCCCACGGCUCAACCGUGGAGGGUCAUUGGAAACUGGGGAACUUGAGUGCAGAAGAGGAAAGUGGAAUUCCAAGUGUAGCGGUGAAAUGCGUAGAGAUUUGGAGGAACACCAGUGGCGAAGGCGACUUUCUGGUCUGUAACUGACACUGAGGCGCGAAAGCGUGGGGAGCGAACAGGAUUAGAUACCCUGGUAGUCCACGCCGUAAACGAUGAGUGCUAAGUGUUAGAGGGUUUCCGCCCUUUAGUGCUGCAGCAAACGCAUUAAGCACUCC
Molecule: ribosomal RNA, 602 nt
Filed under: Bacillus sp. BAC59
Lineage: Bacteria; Bacillati; Bacillota; Bacilli; Caryophanales; Bacillaceae
Description: bacterial SSU rRNA
Rfam family: Bacterial small subunit ribosomal RNA
Source: RNAcentral